AGGACGAACGCUGGCGGCGUGCUUAACACAUGCAAGUCGAGCGGUAAGGCCUUUCGGGGUACACGAGCGGCGAACGGGUGAGUAACACGUGGGUGAUCUGCCCUGCACUCUGGGAUAAGCCUGGGAAACUGGGUCUAAUACCGGAUAUGACCUGCUCUCGCAGUGGGGGGUGGGUAGGAAAGAUUUAGUCGGUGCAAGGGAGUGGGGCCCCGCGGCCUAUCAGUCUUGUUGGGUGGGUAAUGGCCUAACCGAAGGCGACGGACGGGUAC
RNAcentral lists this ribosomal RNA (269 nucleotides) under uncultured soil bacterium. Its description in RNAcentral is "partial 16S ribosomal RNA". It matches the Rfam family "Bacterial small subunit ribosomal RNA", at positions 26 to 286 of the family's 1533-position model. The record is from RNAcentral.